Molecule: ribosomal RNA, 251 nt
Filed under: uncultured prokaryote
Description: partial 16S rRNA
Rfam family: Bacterial small subunit ribosomal RNA
Source: RNAcentral
ACGUAGGGGGCAAGCGUUGUCCGGAAUGAUUGGGCGUAAAGCGCGCGUAGGCGGCCUGGUAAGUCUGGAGUGAAAGCCCAGGUCUUAAGGGGGGAAUUGCUUUGGAUACUGUCGGGCUUGAGUGCAGGAGAGGUAAGUGGAAUUCCAGGUGUAGCGGUUAAAUGCGUAGAGAUCGGGAGGAACACCAGUGGCGAAGGCGACUUACUGGACUGUAACUGACGCUGAGGCGCGAAAGUGUGGGGAGCAAACAG